This 243-nucleotide unclassified non-coding RNA is filed under the name Polistes dominula (European paper wasp). RNAcentral's name for it is "zinc finger protein 391-like, transcript variant X1". The record is from RNAcentral. Lineage: Eukaryota; Metazoa; Arthropoda; Insecta; Hymenoptera; Vespidae.
GCCAUCUUAUAUUUAGUGUCGGAGAAAAACAAUUUGUCCCAUUACAAAUGUUUCGCGAUUGUCCGUGAAGCCGCUCGACCGGAGGAGGGUAGGCGUGUGCGCUCGAAUGAGGCGCGACGUAUUUCGACCAUAGCCCGGACCACUACACUUAGCAAAGGUGGAUUGGUACGCAGGAUAUGAGCAGUUUGUCAAGCGCAACCUGACUCUGCUCCCUCAUCAGCAAAUUCAUCCGCAGCAGCAGCA